This 301-nucleotide ribosomal RNA is filed under the name uncultured bacterium. RNAcentral's name for it is "partial 16S ribosomal RNA". It matches the Rfam family "Bacterial small subunit ribosomal RNA", at positions 509 to 807 of the family's 1533-position model. The record is from RNAcentral.
CAGCCGCCGCGGGAAUACGUAGGGUGCAAGCGUUACUCGGAAUUACUGGGCGUAAAGCGUGCGUAGGUGGUGGUUUAAGUCCGUUGUGAAAGCCCUGGGCUCAACCUGGGAAUUGCAGUGGAUACUGGGUCACUAGAGUGUGGUAGAGGAUAGUGGAAUUUCCGGUGUAGCGGUGAAAUGCGUAGAGAUCUGGAGGAAUACCGAUGGCGAAGGCAGCCAUCUGGCCUAAUACUGACGCUGAGGUACGAAAGCAUGGGGAGCAAACAGGAUUAGAUACCCGCGUAGUCCCUGUCUCUUAUAC